UACGGAGGGUGCAAGCGUUAUCCGGAUUCACUGGGUUUAAAGGGCGCGUAGGCGGGAUGGCAAGUCAGUCGUGAAAUCUCUCGGCUCAACCGAGAAACGUCGGCUGAUACUGCCGUUCUUGAGGGAUGCAGAGGAGACUGGAAUUCCCGGUGUAGCGGUGAAAUGUGUAGAGAUCGGGAGGAACACCGGUGGCGAAGGCGGGUCUCUGGGCAUCUCCUGACGCUGAGGCGCGAAAGCGUGGGGAGCAAACGGG
Molecule: ribosomal RNA, 253 nt
Filed under: uncultured bacterium
Lineage: Bacteria
Description: partial 16S ribosomal RNA
Rfam family: Bacterial small subunit ribosomal RNA
Source: RNAcentral